UGGGGAAUAUUGCACAAUGGGCGCAAGCCUGAUGCAGCCAUGCCGCGUGUGUGAAGAAGGCCUUCGGGUUGUAAAGCACUUUCAGCGAGGAGGAAGGUGGUGAGCUUAAUACGCUCAUCAAUUGACGUUACUCGCAGAAGAAGCACCGGCUAACUCCGUGCCAGCAGCCGCGGUAAUACGGAGGGUGCAAGCGUUAAUCGGAAUUACUGGGCGUAAAGCGCACGCAGGCGGUUUGUUAAGUCAGAUGUGAAAUCCCCGGGCUCAACCUGGGAACUGCAUUUGAAACUGGCAAGCUAGAGUCUCGUAGAGGGGGGUAGAAUUCCAGGUGUAGCGGUGAAAUGCGUAGAGAUCUGGAGGAAUACCGGUGGCGAAGGCGGCCCCCUGGACGAAGACUGACGCUCAGGCGCGAAAGCGUGGGGAGCAAAACAGGAUUAGAUACCCUGGUAGUCCACGCUGUAAAACGAUGUCGAUUUUGGAGGUUGUGCCCUUGAGGCGUGGCUUCCGGAGCUAACGCGUUAAAUCGACCGCC
Molecule: ribosomal RNA, 529 nt
Filed under: uncultured bacterium
Lineage: Bacteria
Description: partial 16S ribosomal RNA
Rfam family: Bacterial small subunit ribosomal RNA
Source: RNAcentral